ACACGCACGCGACGCAGCCCCCCAGGGGGAGGAGAGAGAAAGAGAGAGAAAAAACCAGCACCACGUCGGUACAAAACGAGGCCAGCGGAGAGAGAGGGGCGAAGAAGCAGAGGCGGGGGAGAGAGAGAAGAGAAGAGACGAGGAAAGUGUUGGCGGUGUGCUCGCGCCAUUCCAUCCCAUCCCCUCCCCGCGACCCGGCCCCGCCGGAUCUCGCCGCCGUCGGCGCCGGCUCCCCCUGGGCGGCGCCGCAGCCGCGCCCCCGAUCGGCGGCCGCGCCCCCGCCCAUGGUCGUUGCGCCCGCGUGGGGGACUCGGAGCGCGUGAGUAGGCAGGCGCCACGUGCCACGGGGCGCGUGUACACUCGGCGGUGGCCAUGGCGGACCUGGCUUCCACCUGCAAGGAUAAACUGGCAUACUUUCGAAUAAAGGAACUCAAAGAUAUCUUGCAUCAGUUAGGCCUACCAAAGCAAGGAAAGAAGCAGGAUCUUAUUGACAGGGUAUUGGCACUGUUAUCAGAUGAGCAAGGUCAAAGGCAUCAUGGGUGGGGAAGAAAAAAUUCGUUCACAAAGGAGGCAGUGGCAAAAAUUAUCGAUGAUAUAUACAGCAGGAAAAUGCAAAUCCAAUCUGCUCCCGAUCUAGCCACUAGGUCCCACACUGGAUCAGAUUUAUUCCGGCCUAAAGAUGAAGUCAACGACUCCUUCCAGCCACAGCCAGUGACUAAGGUCCGCUGCAUUUGUGAUAGCAAGUUGCUAAACGAUAAUAUGAUCCAGUGUGAGGAUGAUCGAUGCCAUGUGUGGCAACAUAUGAGUUGUGUGCUCGUUCCAGAUAAGCCCACUGAGGGUGUUGGCCCUGAAGUUCCACCCCAUUUCUACUGUGAAUUAUGCCGACUAAGUCGGGCAGACCCGUUUUGGGUCACUACAGGGAAUCCAUUACCCCCUCUGAAAUUCAUGUCAUCUGGUGUUGCAAAUGAUGGAACAAGUGUACUGCAAACCGUGGAGAAAACCUUCCAACUUUCUCGAGCGGAUAGGGAAACAGUUCAGAGAUCAGAAUAUGAUCUCCAGGUUUGGUGCAUUCUUAUGAAUGAUAAAGUUCAGUUCAGGAUGCAGUGGCCCCAAUAUGCAGAAUUGGAAGUGAAUGGUUUUGCUGUACGAGUAGUGACCAGACCUGGUUCUCAGUUGCUAGGCAUAAAUGGACGGGAUGAUGGGCCAUUGAUAACCACAUGCAGUAGAGAAGGAACUAACAAGAUCUGCUUACGAAGGGUUGAUAAUCGAACAUUUUGCUUUGGAGUCCGAGUUGCUAGGAGGAGAAGUGUUCCUCAGGUUUUAAAUUUAGUUCCAAAGGAAGCUGAAGGUGAGUCUUUUGAGGAUGCUCUUACUCGUGUUCGGCGCUGUCUCGGAGGUGGAGACACUGCAGAGAACGCUGAUAGUGACAGUGAUUUGGAAGUGGUUACUGAAUCUGUUACAGUCAACCUUCGUUGCCCUAAUAGUGGAUCCAGAAUGAAGACUGCUGGAAGGUUCAAGCCUUGCGUUCACAUGGGUUGUUUUGAUCUCGACACCUUCGUGGAACUGAAUCAGCGGUCCCGCAAGUGGCAGUGUCCAAUAUGUUUAAAGAACUACUCUCUUGAGAAUUUGAUGAUUGAUCCUUACUUCAAUCGGAUUACUUCUCUGUUGCGUGAUUGUAGUGAAGAUGUCAAUGAGAUUGAUAUUAAGCCAGAUGGAUCUUGGCGUAUAAAGGGUGAUGUACCAACUAGGGAAUUAUCUCAGUGGCAUAUGCCUGAUGGCACGCUCUGUAUCUCAAAGGAAGAUAACAAACCUGGUGUUGAGAAUUUUAAUGAACUCAAGAUAGAAGGUAGUUCUGAUGGCCAUAAGAGUUUAAAAAUUGGAAUCAAAAGAAAAAAUGGAAUCUGGGAAGUUAGUAACAAAGCAGAUGACAAGAAGCCUUCUGUUGUAGGAAAUAUCACCCAGAACAAUAUUACUUUCCGAACUCCAAACACUUUCCCUAUGAGCAGUAGUCCCACUGGGAGUUAUAGAGAUGGGGAAGACACAAGUGUGAACCAGGAGGGCAGUAUGCAUAUUGAUUUAUCAUUGAACAAUGGUCAUGAGUUUGAAAGUUUUCCUCUCAAUUUCGGCCAAACAUAUAACACAGAGGAUACAUCACAGCAACAACUUAGUGCUGGAGAUGUCAUUGUUCUUAGUGAUUCUGAUGAAGAGAAUGACACAGUUGUUUGCCCACCAACGGUCUACGACAAUACUACUGUAAAUGGCGGUGGUUUUCCUUUUGCCACUAGUGGUGCUGGAUUUACUGGAAGAUACCAGGAAGAUGCUGGCGUCGGUACUAGUGGACUUGGUUUAUUAAGCAACAAUGCUGAUGAUUUUGAGAUGACUAAUUGGCAAAUGCCCUAUUCCCAACCGGAGCAAGGCUACCAGUUUUUCGGGGAUGGCACCGCCGAUACUUAUGUUGGUUCGCACAAUUCCUUUAGCAUUACACCAAACGACUAUUCCCUUGAUUGUAAUGUUGGCAUAGAGGAGGCUUCUGUAGCUCAUGACCUUCCAGUUUACCGCAGUAAUAAUGAAAUGCAUGGAAGUUUGGUUGAUAACCCAUUGGCUUUCGGUGGUGAUGAUCCUUCUUUGCAAAUUUUUCUUCCAAGUCAGCCUUCUUCUGCUCCCCUUCAGGAAGAACCAAGUGAGCGUGUAAAUGCAUCAAAUGGGUUUCAGUCUGAUGAUUGGAUCUCUCUUACGCUCGCAGCCGGUGGAGGUGGUAAUGAAGAGCCUGCAGUUGCUAAUGGUUUAAAUUUGCAAGAACAAAUACGGGCAAAUGAGACAGGAGUGGAACCAUUAACUGAUGCUGCUUCUGUCCUUCCAAGCACAAACAAUGACAGAGAUGACGGAGCUAAUUUAAAUCCAAGAAGGAUUGAGAAUAUAUUUUCUCAUCCUCGCCAGCCUCGGUCUCGGUCGGUCAGGCCUCGACUUUGUUUAUCAAUAGAUUCUGACUCUGAGUAGAUUGGACAUUUAAAUGGGAUAGUUGAGUUUGCAUUAAUUUGGCAAGGCUGCCUUCCAGAAAUCCUGAUUUUUACCGAGGUUAUCAGGUUCUUCUGGUUGAUGUAAAGAGAAACACAAACAUAGAUGCUGUGUUGCCUCACCUGGUCGACAAACUACAAGUGUUCCAUGGGGAUCUGCACAGAGGACUCUGAUGGCUUGAGCGGGUUGAUUAUCUCAUGCCAACAGGGCAACCGAGGCCUCUAAUGGUAAGCAAGAUCAUUUCUAUCUCAGUACUGGUGUCACAGGAGCAGGCCUGUGCAUUAACCAGUUUGCUUUGUCAAAAAUGGAAACCUGCCUGUUGUGAUAUCCUAGAGAGUUCUGCUGCCAAAUUUUGCAGUACUACAUUGUGGUUUUGUGCAUAUACUUGCGUCGACUCAUCACCUAUGGUAAGUUGUAAAUCGGUCUUGUCUAAGCAGUGCUUGCUCCUGUCAUCGGACCAUCAUGAUGGGCGGUACAUGCAUUGCCAGAAUUUGGGUGCCCUCCUUG
This 3522-nucleotide ribosomal RNA is filed under the name Triticum aestivum (bread wheat). RNAcentral's name for it is "partial small subunit ribosomal RNA". The record is from RNAcentral. Lineage: Eukaryota; Viridiplantae; Streptophyta; Magnoliopsida; Poales; Poaceae.